Long non-coding RNA from Haemorhous mexicanus (house finch), 6797 nucleotides. RefSeq lists it as uncharacterized. The record is from RefSeq and is a predicted model, not a curated record. Lineage: Eukaryota; Metazoa; Chordata; Aves; Passeriformes; Fringillidae. The transcript has 3 exons.
AUCACUGAUAACAGAUGAGAAGGGGGAAGAGGAGGAUUUCUCAUUUGCAAACAUGGCAGUCUGCUUCCAGCAGAGGAGAUUUGGCAAAUCCUUUGUAAGCAGGAGAGCAAAACCUCACCAUGGAAAAUGCAGCACACUUUACCCCCCAGUACCUGCAUGAUUACAUCCAGCUGGCUGACAGGAACAGGGUCUCUUGAGCUUUUUUUCUGCUUACUGUCUCCAGGAGGUUUUGAGCAUGCACAUGUCACACCCCAGGAAGAUGUGUAGCUGCAUGACACAGAACAGAAACUGUUUCUGUGAAAGGAAGAAAACAACUUUACAGACUGGGAAGGAAACAAGCAAUCUGGGCCAAGAGUCUAAACUCUUUCCCCUGAAUGCUUUCCCAGUCUUUGACCUCUCAUUAUUUAAUUAUCACAAGAGAAAUCUAAAGAGUGUAUUCAGUGACUCCUGAAUAAAUGCUAACCUGCAACAUGGGUCAUACUUACACACUUCAAAUUUUUACUGGUGCAUAUUGGACCUGAGCACUGUGACAAGUUCUGAGUCAACUCUGAAGAGCCAGAACAGCUGAGACACUGCUUAUUUCAGCAGACCAAUCAAGACAGACCAGCCCAAAUGUUUCUUGAUAUUGGAUUUUAUAUUUCUGCUUAUUAGAGGUUCAAUGGAUGUAAUGCCCAGCAUCUUCACCUGUGGUUUCUGCUAUGCCUGGCUCCAAGCAGAGGGCUUUCUAAAGGCCCUUCUUGGUCCCAUUAAGCAGCUGUGAAGAGGAUGGACAUGCAUGAUCAAGCUCAAGAGAGCAAAGGAGGCAACACUGUGCAGCACAGCAAGCUAAAGAUUACAUCCAAGAAGUUGUUCCAGGCUAAAUUCUAUUGUCAAGGUGAGGAGAUGCCAGCGAGCUAAUCUCCCCAUUGCCUCCAGAUCCCUGCCCACAAGCCUGCCAGCAGCAAUUGAUGGGGAUCAUUCCACUCUUGAGGAAUACAAGCACACACACAGCAUACUCAUCAGAAGAACAUCUUCCUUCUUGUAUAUCAUUUAGUUCCAGGAAUGCCCAGUUCUCUGCCACUUUGCUAUGCCUUGUUUUGGAGAUCCACCACCUGCCACUUAAUGACCUACUCUGCUGGCCACUGUCAUCACAGUGAGCCAACAUCCUGAACGUUCAAUAAACUGUACUGUAUCUCAGGCAUGAUGAUGCAAAGAAAAUGUAAGUGUUCAAAGAGAGGUCUCAAGAGACAGCACACUAAAAGUCUUGUAUUGAUGCUUCAGCCUCAGAUGAAGCCAUCAAGGUCUUUCAUACUGGCAAUCUGUUCUAAAAAGGCAGCAUCUCCUCCUGACAAUGGUCCCAUUCCGGCCUUUACAUCUCCCAAAAUGUAUAUAGUGCCCCUUGCAUUUACACUCUGUUUUUUUUCUUAGUCCCUGCAUGCAUUCCUGUCUGUAACACUAUCUCUUUUGAUAAAAUUACUUUUCUGUCCACCAUACCACUAACAGUUGCACUUCCCAGAAACACACUCCUGAUAAAUAAUGCAGCUGGGUUGCAUGAUGCACACCUGUCUAACAUGGUAGCUCUGGGCCUCAAUCAGUAGUUCUUCCUUGUCUGUGACAACAGGUACUAUAGAAAAAGGCCUUUAUCCACCAGCCUAACAGGGGCUGUAGAAGGAAAGUGUUCUGCUUGGCUGACAAAAGUAGGACAUCAAGCCCCAGUCUCACACAGUCUCAGUUCUGGCUCAAUGUCAUGAGUAUUUCAUCUUGCUGGGAAAUACUCUGGUUGCAGACAUCCAGCAUUCAGUUGCUCCCAGCUACAAAGAGAAACUCAUAUGAGUGAGUUUCAGAUCCCAAUUCUGAUACAUAUUGAAUACAAUUUUUAAUACAACUGUCAGGACAAAAGGCUUUACUGGCCAAUGACCAUUUCUGGAGAAAUACAUCAAGGAUUUAGGGAGGACAUAGGGACCUACGUCCAAAACUAAACUGGAAAAGAAAAACAAAACAAACAAACAAAAAACACCAAAAAACAAAACCCAAACCACUGGUUCUGACUCUUUGGGAAUUUUUUCCUUACGCUUACUGGUUUAAAUUCCUCCACUCCUAGAGGCGCAAUGCUGAGCAUGCCUAGAAAUGCCUUCCUGCUAACCUGGUUGAACAGGUUGCCAUCUAAGCCUAAUCAGUUAUCAAAGACUGGAAUACAAAUUCUCUGUUCUAUUAGCAGCCAGCAAGACAAAUCUUCCAGUUCAAUCUUUCAGGCUUAAUACAAUUAGUUACAGAUUUUCUGAAAAUGGUCAGCAUUUCAUUGCAGGAGCCAGAUGCAACCACAGCCCUUUCUGCAACAUAAAUCCUGAAUUGCCUUGUCACUUGUGCUCCAAAAAACCUCCCACUGCUCUAGCCGGAGACUGGGCUCCAGCACUCCACUCAGCACUUUUAGCAUCCUCACAGCCCUGGUUGCCAAGAUGGGGAGAGGUUUGCUGUGAGCUCAUCACAUGCUGAGAAACUUUGUUCAGGGUUUGUGCAAUGACACAUACAAUGGACGGUCCGUGGGACUUGUCUACAAAGCCUCUAGUUUCAAAAUACAAGCCUUCACCUAUUUAGCACAGGAAUAGCUCCAUUAGAUGAUAAUAUCAGGAAAUUAUGUACUUUAUUCAGACACCUAUAGGAGAAGGGUACAAUAAUAAGUGUCUAUUGAGAAAAAAUAUUAAAAAUAAAAAUAUAAUAAAAUACUCCAAAAUCCUUGGUGGAAAGAGCUCAUAGUCCUUGAGUUCUCAAGGAGCAAAUGUUUUAUGAUCCACCAUUCUGAGAUCCUCCACUCAUCUUUAUGCCGUAGAGAGGUAUUUCUGUUAAGCAGCUCUAGCUAGUUGGAUAUCUAGUCAGAGAUGAUUGUCUAAGGUCACAUAAUAGCAGAUAUGUAGCCAGCUCCAGAGGAAGAGCCACUCCUCCCCACUCAGGCACCUCCCUUAGACACUCCAUAUUGACCAGAGAAGCUGAGGUGACUAGUUCAGACCAGGCAGCUACUUUAAAAUGAUGGGUUCCCAGAUACCACCCUGUGUAUGCAGCUAGACCCUGGUGUGGGUGCAACAGAGAGCCUGUUGCUGCCCCAUGCUGGGCCAGGGCUUGUUGCAGGCAGGGCACCCUGCCCAAUCCUGCUCCCACUGCCAGACUUGCUCCACAAGCACCUGGCUGAGGAAGCUAAUUCUGAGUGGAGUUCUGAGUGGAGCAAGAGAUUAAUGGUCUGGGAAAGAUGGUGUUGGUGAUGAUGAUGGGGUGAAGGAGAUACAAAAAAAGAGUGGUGGUCUCUCCUCUCCCACUGACACUGGCAAUCCCAUUGACAGCCAGGUAUUGUAAAUCCCAUCACACAGGUCUCACACUUCCAUCUUUGUACAAGCUCAUUUGUUACUGUGAGUGGGCAUGUAGGAGAUGUGGCUGCCAAAGCAAAGCUGCUGGAGGGAGGAGAGGCAGUGAUACCCCAUCUGCAGACCAGAACACGCUGCUCCCCAUGCUACAGAAAACAACCUCUGUGAGGUACUUAUGGGAAGGACAGGGAGACAACCAGCAUUCAGAUGUCCUGAAUAUGCAGAUUUAUAUUUGGAGGCUGUUAGAAAUAAAAUAUUUUAAAGCAAUCACAUUAAUCAGGGACUUCUUAUGCAUUUGCUGCAAUGAGACCCAAAUGAAAGGAUCACGAGUGCACACUGCAUGUAAAGGUUAAUCAAAGGCAGCUUCUUCUUUUGGCAGCUACUUUCUUCUGCUGAUCUUUGCCAGGAAGCAUGUACUCCAUUGUUUUUCUUUCUUUUUUCUCUUUUUUUUCCCUUUCUUUUAACUAUAUAUGUGCAACUCCCACUCUCAGGUUUUCUAAAAGUUAUAUCACACCCUUUUUAUACACAAGGAGAAGAAAAUGGUGAACCUGUAACAUUGCAAAUGCUACUUUGAAAAAUGGGUUUCCAGGAGUUUUGAUUGAGACUUUUCUAUGUCUUUUGUAGAAGGGGCUGAUGGAUCCUUUUUCGCAGACAUUGCAGGUAAUCCCUUUAAGAAAACCACCUGAGCUAGCAGAAAACCUCAGAGCAUCCCCUUUGUCAAGCAGCUGUGCAGGCUUGUUGAUAUAUUUGUUCUGGGGACAAUGCCUCUUACACACUUACCACUGGGGAGCAUUUGGAAACACUUCAUGGAUGGAUUCAGCAUUAAGCAAUGGGGUUGGCUGCAGACUGCAGUACAAGAUCGUGGUAUUUCAACAAGCCAAUGCCAUUUGUAGGUGACAUUUACCUGGUAGCAUUCACCUUGGGGAAGCACAGAUAUCACCUGUGCUCUCAUUCACACAGGCAAAUCACCUAACACAGCUUCAAUCACAGCUAAGCCAUCACAGGAGCCCUGAUGGCAGAAGUUGCAAGAGAAGCAUUAAAUCAAAGCACCACCAUUCAGCUGGACAGUGUACCUGUGCUGCUUCUGCUGGAGGUGGAAUGGAUCUGUCUGUGUGGGUCAAGACUUGUAGGGCUUCUCAGACCCUCCUGCUGCUGUGAGCCAGUGCUAGGACAAAUCCAGGUGGGGAUGCUUGGUCCUUUGGUCCAGAAACAGGGCUGACGUUGGCUGCACUCUCUGCCAUAAGCACCACACUUCCCAUAAACCAUUAAUUUUUAACUUCUUUCAGUCUAUGUCAGAAACUGUAAAAUAACCCAUACUCAAUUUGAAAAAGAGACUGAGAUAAACCAAGAUAUUACCUUUCCUCUUUGAAGGAAUUUUACUCUCCAAGGCCUAGUAGGUGCAGUAGGACUGUUUGCACAUUCCACCAUCUCUGUCCUUUCUUUCUAGCUCCUCACUGGGCUUUUCUCAUCACAGAAACUCUCUAAUAAUUUUCCUCUUCAUGUUCUUAUGCCAUUUCUAAAAUUUACUCUCUGAACUUUCAUCUUGUUUAAAUUUCUCUUUAUCUCCUUUUUCCAUUACUAGAAAAAUAUAAAAGCUAAAUGAGGUGAAUGAGAGUUUAACCCUACAAUGUAGUUGCACUUUCCCAGUCAAGCCCUGGUUCUUAGACUCAAAAUUCUUACAAUAAAUUUUCUCCUUAAAACUUAGAACAGAUGCAGCUAACAUGCCCAAAAUUUUGAAGGCAGAUUUCUGAGUUCAUUUCAGCCCUCUAGGUUAAAAAAUGUCUUCUGGCUCUGCUCUCAAGAUACAUCAAGUGGUCAUGCUGUCUUCUUUCAAAUCUUCACCUGCAAAGAGUCUCCAUCUUGAUUUCUUAUCCACAUUUAGACUAUUUAUUUUAAAAUUUGUAGUUCAUCUAGUAAGUUUGCAAGGAAGGUAUAAGUGAGAUCAAAAGUCUACUUUGGUUGCUGUUAUUUGUCCAUGCAAAGCAGUAUAGUACAAUCUCAGUGCUUUUUCCCUUUAGAUGCAGUGUCUUUAAAAGCAGUUGAUACCAUUGCAGCAUGUUAUCUGCACCUGCAUUAAAAACAUCACUUGGGUUGUCCCAAGCACUCGGGGACAUUCUGGUGACAUUUAGAUGGGUACAGCACAGCAGAAGGGAGGUGGGGUGUUCUGCGCCUGGGCUUAGCCAUGAGACAUGGUUGUUGUUGUGCCACACAACCCUGCCCCUCCAGCUAGCUGGGAUCCAUCCAGAGUCUCCAAGAAGGGAUAGAAUACUGUUUCAGCUUCAGCAUGGAAAAUCUCCCUGCAGUGCAAAAAUCCAUAAAUACCCAACCCCUGUCAGGGGCUGGCAAUUUUGCUGGAGGUCUUGUUCAUGACAGCUUGUCCAUCCAGGUCAGGAAGAGGUGGAUGGAUGGAUGGAUGGAUGGAUGGAUGGAUGGAUGGAUGGAUGGAUGGAUGGAUGGAUGGAUGGAGUAGCCCUGGUAAACCUGUAUGCUGCCAAAAACCCAUUCAGUGAAUGACUUCCAUCUUCCAUGCAGUUUCAUAAACAUUUUUAACAGCAUAUAAACUGGAGAAGGUCAGGAUUUCUUCUGGCUAAACAAUAUUGGUAGUCUGUGAUCUAAGAAUGGUUUUGUUUUAGUCACGGAGCAAAAUUCAAAUUUUCUAAAACAAAAUAAACAAGGUGAAAGAGAAUAAGAGAAACAGAGAGAAGGGAAGGGCUAAGAUCUGAUAAAUGUUGGAGACCAUGACCUAUUACUUAUGAAAUUACUGAGCUGUGAAAAUAAAAGUUUGUUCUGUUCUGCUUAGGAAUUUAGGUACACAAGACAAACAGCAUUUCUCUGAUCAAAUACAGCUUUUCAAUGGAGCAAAUACAUUGGUAAACAUCACAAGCUGUGUUCUAAAAAUUUUUUAUUCCACCAAAUUCUCCUCAGUUUCUUUGGCCAUCUCUUAUUAUCUUCUUAGUGGACACUAGCUCACAACUUUUCUAUGUAUGCUGUUUGUCUCACUGGUAUUGCAGGACAAAGUGCAGCCAUCCAAGAUAUGUCUCCAGUGAUAAGAUGAUUCAAAACUGUUCAUAUGACUUAUGUGCUACCUAUCCCUACAGAUAUUUUAUUUUCCUUCACAGCUGCCUUUCCCGAUUUUAUCUCAUUGCCACUUACCAGAGUGUUUGUUGUGUGGGUGUAUUGCUAGUGAACACAGCCUAGCUAGAUUUACUUUAAAAUGCUGUAGUAAGUUAUUAUGCCUUAUCAAAGUGCAAAUAUUAUGUUCCUACCCACAUGCCUCUUGCUAAGCUGCAGGUCUUUAGACUGGAGUCCCUUCCUCCUACCCAGUUGGUGUAAAAGCUUAGACAGAGAGUUAGGUAUCUAUUUAUGUUUGGAAAGUAAAAUCAAUGAGUCCAAAAGGAAUUUAACCAAUAUUUUGAGUUUGUGUGCACAUGUAUAGCCAUGGUGUAUAUCAAUAAAAGCUCUUUA